CAGCAUCUGCAGCAGGAGCCUGGGGUAGCAUGUGCUCAACACCGGGAUGUGCUGCCAGAUCCCCUCCAAGAACUGACUUGUUCCCCAGGCACUGGGAGCAUGGUGAGUACACAACCUGCAGCUGUGAGCCCCUUCCAGGAUUGGCUCAGCUGCUGAGCUGCUCACCCAAGCUCACACUUCUUCCCACAUUUGAUGACUGAUCAGUAUAGGAAUAUAAAGGCCUGGCCAUCUGGCACAGCACUGCGAGGGCCAGUCUAGCUGCAGAGGACCUGAGAGGUCAGCCCAGGCUCCCUUCCUUAGGGCGGAUCCUAGGGCUCUCCUUACUAAACAUCCCAUACUCACAACUCCUUUCCCAAAUCGGUUUCCCAGAGAACCCCAGUGCUUUCAUGUGGUUGCAGAUAUUGCCAAGAAUGAAAGCACAUCGGCUUGGUAUCCUAGGACUAGUAUGCCAGCUAAACAACGAUAAAGGAGCUACAAAUCCCGGUUUCCACAGGGGUUAUCAUGAGAAAAUUUCAUGGAAUCCAAUUUCAGCUGUAUUUCCAAUUCACCAUGUGAAUGACUCUUCAUGCUCUGCCAGGAAGCAGAGGUCUACUCUUCUGAGCAAGAUAAUUCUGAAGAGUUGAGGACCAUGAGGCGCCACUGUGGGGAGAUGAAUACCAGCCAUCAGCAGCCUCCGCCUCUGCCAGCAAGUCAAGGGGUGAGCGAGCAGCCACUGAGAAUCACAGGUGCAGAGUCACCAGGCAGGUGAGGAAGACGUGUUCCAGGGGCCCCUGUUGACAAUGAAGGACAGCCAAGUUACAAGGAGUCACCUGUUAUGCCAAGACAAUUUAUACAUAAAUCAGCCUCCACCAGGGGUGAAUAUUAGGUGGAAAAUGUGCCAGGCUAUGGAGUUUGCUCAUUGCCGUGCCAGGUAUGAAUCUGUGGCUUGAAAGAAAAAUCAAAGCAGGCAGAGGAAUGUCGGAGCAAGAACAAGGAUGCUCAGAGGGGGGCUGGGGCUUCCCAUGCCUUUUGAAGGCUCUUUCUAAUGUUCUCUUUGAGGUGUUAAAUUCUACAGCUCCUGUCCUUCUUUCAGAAGCCAGUGGCUUAGUCUCAGUACACUCAGGUGUUUUCUCUGCUCCAUGAUGAUUUAGUGGUUGCACUUUCCAGACCCCUUUCCGCUCAAUGCCCACAUUCUUUCUACACUGGACGCUAAAUUUGAUCCCAGACUGUCAUUUGUGAUGGCAUGAGGGGUCAUUGCAGCUCUGGAGACACUGAAUCAAUACCAGAGAGGUGAGUUACUGGUUUCAUGUGAUCCUUUGAGGCCAGCCUGGGACAAGACAUUUUUCUAAGCUUUAGCAACCAUGAAAGUUUCCAUGGAUUUUCUAGGACAAGGGGUCUUGAGAAGAAGCAUCGGGAAUUAGAAUCUAAUAUACAAGAGGAUCACGAAAUGCAGUAAGAGCACUGGGGCUGCAGGCUGUGGAAUCCUGAGACAAGAGAAGAGGAAACCAAGGAGGGCCGGUCAGAAAGUUGAUCUGAGACUUUACAGAGUUCCUGAGGAAUAAAGUCGAAGGAGCCCAGACCUUUCUGGACCUUUGGACGCUCCGGCAGCUAUGCAGAUAGAAGGUGUGUUCUCCUCCCCGGGCCCCUUGGCUGACAGCCAUGAUGAUAGCCGAUUCCCUUCCUUCUGAGCAACAGGGCGUCCAGUUCUCACUGCAGACUCCACCCUGCUUCAUCUACAUCUUGCUGUCCUCCAGUUCCUGCACCUCUAUGGAGCCCUUUUCAGCGUUCCCAGGUUGUCAGACGCCUCUCUGAGGGCCCUGCCCCUGGUACCGUGCCUCUAUUAGAACCUGGCUCACCGUGUCUGGCGAGGCUUUGCUCUGCUCCUCAGUGGGGCACUAGAUGGUGGAACCCUGGCGAACCAGAACUGUGCCACAGUCUUCUCUCUGUCCGUCCUCACACCUCAUAUGGAGCGUGGCAUAAACUAGGCACCAUUUGUUUGUUAAAUAAAAACAAAAUUCUUUCUCCUCAUUUCCCAUGAAAGUUGCAAUCUAAACCAGCAUAAUUAAG
Molecule: long non-coding RNA, 2046 nt
Filed under: Papio anubis (olive baboon)
Lineage: Eukaryota; Metazoa; Chordata; Mammalia; Primates; Cercopithecidae
Description: lncRNA (ENSPANG00000040182.1)
Source: RNAcentral